ACCCGAUACUUCAACUCGUGGAAAUCUUCGUCCAGGAUUGCCAUCCUUCAGAACUUCUAUCUCGUCCUUAGAUCAAACUGUUGGAAUACCUCUGCCCCUGCAAAGUGUCCGGAACUUACAGGCAUCAGCCGGUGGUUCUCCAGGUCCUCGUUUCUUCGUUCGACCAGAAAGUCGGGAAGUAUUCGACACUCAAGAAAUUCUUGACUCCAGAGAAUUCUUCGACGCUCGGGGCAUCCUACGUUCCCGUGAGCUGCACGACACGCUCGAGGUGCUCGGGUCCCGUGAAUUUCUCUCUUCUGAAAUCCAGAUUCACAAUUAAAGGCCUCAAGUGAAUUUCCGACGGCCUAGAUGGAGGAACGCGCGCCGAAUUAUUUAGAGAAGAUAAAAGCUAAUUAAGUUACCGAAAAUUUGAACUAUGUGUUUUGCCCCUUUCUGGUUAGUAUGAACACUGUAAAGUGACAGCACUGUGAAGUUUGGUAUAGUCUUGGCUUUUCUCAAUUGCAGAUAUCUGGUAAAUUAACUUUUCUGUCAAUUAUACGAAAAUAUAUUAAUUUAAACACAA
This is a long non-coding RNA of Hyalella azteca, 562 nucleotides long. RefSeq lists it as uncharacterized. NCBI's taxonomy places the organism in Eukaryota, Metazoa, Arthropoda, Malacostraca, Amphipoda, Hyalellidae. The transcript is spliced from 2 exons. The record is from RefSeq and is a predicted model, not a curated record.